Mesocricetus auratus (golden hamster) is the source of this 805-nucleotide long non-coding RNA. RefSeq lists it as uncharacterized. Lineage: Eukaryota; Metazoa; Chordata; Mammalia; Rodentia; Cricetidae. The transcript is spliced from 3 exons. The record is from RefSeq and is a predicted model, not a curated record.
GAGUGAGGGGCUGUUCAGAGGAGCGAGCCCUUAGAACUGGGUAUGGCGUGUCCGUGAUCGCUUUCCACAGGGACAGGGCUCCUCACAGUGCAGUGCGAUCUAAAGCAAGACUGGACGAGAACAACGUCAAAGAUCAAGUGUGACAAGAGGAAGACACACCGCCCUCUUCUUCUCUCAACCCAGUGUGUGUGUUUGUGUGUGUGUGUGUGUUGUAUUCUUGAAAAAUCUCAUCUCGGGAAUAGCACAUAUUUUCUGUCAGGAUCUGCCAGGAUUUCUGAUGAGACUGACAGAAACCUGUUUCAUUUUCAUGUGAGAUAAUGAGUAGAUGCAAGUUCUCACACAUCUGUUCAGGGAAGAUAAAGAUGACAUUACUAGAGGAACUUGCUGGACAAAGUGAGGGAUUGCUACAGAGUCUGGAGUAAUGGGCGUUGUGAAACCAUGUGACCAAGGACUGACCGCCCCAAAUCAUGAGAAGGAAAGAUUUUAUCUGUCCCCCAAUCCUGAGGAAUCUUGUGUAAAGACUUUUAACCUGCCUGUUGACAAGAAUCCAUCAUAAAAGGUAUUCAUGACUCAGUGUGGCUCUCUCAGGUGACUAGGAGGCGGGUCUGGGUCAUCAGCACUUACAUCCUGCUCAACCCAAGGAAGUGACCAGCUUGACCAGCCCUUCCCAUAGCCCUGACUGCCAGAGGACCCAGCAGAGUGGUGCCCGAACAGGGACCUGGCACUGCCAUGCCUGCAACUUCCUGAUAUCACAGACUCUUAAAACCUCUGGAACUGUAAUCUCAAAUAAAAUCUUCCUUCUGUA